CUUUCCCUCUUUCUUUAGGCCUAACACAUGCAAGUCGAACGGCAGCACAGUAAGAGCUUGCUCUUACGGGUGGCGAGUGGCGGACGGGUGAGGAAUACAUCGGAAUCUACUUUUUCGUGGGGGAUAACGUAGGGAAACUUACGCUAAUACCGCAUACGACCUACGGGUGAAAGCAGGGGAUCUUCGGACCUUGCGCGAUUGAAUGAGCCGAUGUCGGAUUAGCUAGUUGGCGGGGUAAAGGCCCACCAAGGCGACGAUCCGUAGCUGGUCUGAGAGGAUGAUCAGCCACACUGGAACUGAGACACGGUCCAGACUCCUACGGGAGGCAGCAGUGUGGAAUAUUGGACAAUGGGCGCAAGCCUGAUCCAGCCAUACCGCGUGGGUGAAGAAGGCCUUCGGGUUGUAAAGCCCUUUUGUUGGGAAAGAAAAGCAGCAGGUUAAUACCCCGUUGUUCUGACGGUACCCAAAGAAUAAGCACCGGCUAACUUCGUG
Molecule: ribosomal RNA, 492 nt
Filed under: uncultured bacterium
Lineage: Bacteria
Description: partial 16S ribosomal RNA
Rfam family: Bacterial small subunit ribosomal RNA
Source: RNAcentral